UACGUAGGGGGCUAGCGUUGUCCGGAAUCAUUGGGCGUAAAGAGCGUGUAGGCGGCUCGGUAAGUCCGCUGUAAAAGUCAAAGGCUCAACCUUUGAAUGUCAGUGGAUACUGCCGGGCUAGAGUCCGGAAGAGGCGAGUGGAACUCCUGGUGUAGCGGUGGAAUGCGCAGAUAUCAGGAGGAACACCGGUGGCGAAGGCGGAUCUCUGGGCCUUACCUGACGCUCAGGUGCGAAAGCUAGGGGAGCGAACAGG
RNAcentral lists this ribosomal RNA (253 nucleotides) under uncultured bacterium. RNAcentral's name for it is "partial 16S ribosomal RNA". It matches the Rfam family "Bacterial small subunit ribosomal RNA", at positions 524 to 776 of the family's 1533-position model. The record is from RNAcentral.